Molecule: non-coding RNA, 23 nt
Filed under: Cricetulus griseus (Chinese hamster)
Lineage: Eukaryota; Metazoa; Chordata; Mammalia; Rodentia; Cricetidae
Source: RNAcentral
AUGUUGUAGAUAAUUUAUGUGGA